GCUUACGGCCAUACCACCCUGAACACGCCCGAUCUCGUCAGAUCUCGGAAGCUAAGCAGGUCGGGCCUGGUUAGUACUUGGAUGGGAGACCGCCUGGGAAUACCAGGUGCUGUAAGCU
Molecule: ribosomal RNA, 118 nt
Organism: Labrus bergylta (ballan wrasse)
Lineage: Eukaryota; Metazoa; Chordata; Actinopteri; Labriformes; Labridae
Source: Ensembl